RNAcentral lists this long non-coding RNA (256 nucleotides) under Gossypium barbadense (sea-island cotton). Its description in RNAcentral is "long non-coding RNA (GBAR_LNC016162)". The record is from RNAcentral. Lineage: Eukaryota; Viridiplantae; Streptophyta; Magnoliopsida; Malvales; Malvaceae.
CGAAUUCAAGAUUACAGAUGAAAGUUGUGGGGUUGAAUGGCGUUUUGUUUUUGAGACUUGAGAUGAAAGUUGGCGUGUCUUUUUUACAUUUAAGUGAAAGGGGCUUUUGCAUGAAAUUCUUUAAUUAAACAUCUGUGCCUAAUAAAAGAUGGCAUCUACAUGGUGCAUGUGCUAACAUGGAUAGAGGAAAACAGGUACGAGAUGACAAAUUGUUCUACCUUUCCAGAAGAGGUGUUCAUGUACUGCAGGAUGGCUC